This 253-nucleotide ribosomal RNA is filed under the name uncultured bacterium. Its description in RNAcentral is "partial 16S ribosomal RNA". It matches the Rfam family "Bacterial small subunit ribosomal RNA", at positions 524 to 776 of the family's 1533-position model. The record is from RNAcentral.
UACGGGGGGGGCAAGCGUUGUUCGGAAUUACUGGGCGUAAAGGGCUCGUAGGUGGCCAACUAAGUCAGACGUGAAAUCCCUCGGCUUAACCGGGGAACUGCGUCUGAUACUGGAUGGCUUGAGUUCGGGAGAGGGAUGCGGAAUUCCCAGUGUAGCGGUGAAAUGCGUAGAUAUUGGGAGGAACACCAGUGGCGAAGGCGGCUCACUGGACCGGAACUGACGCUGAGGCGCGAAAGCGUGGGGAGCAAACGGG